CCGUAGGUGAACCUGCGGAGGGAUCAUUACACAAAUAUGAAGGCGGGCUGGAACCUCUCGGGGUUACAGCCUUGCUGAAUUAUUCACCCUUGUCUUUUGCGUACUUCUUGUUUCCUUGGUGGGUUCGCCCACCACUAGGACAAACAUAAACCUUUUGUAAUUGCAAUCAGCGUCAGUAACAAAUUAAUAAUUACAACUUUCAACAACGGAUCUCUUGGUUCUGGCAUCGAUGAAGAACGCAGCGAAAUGCGAUAAGUAGUGUGAAUUGCAGAAUUCAGUGAAUCAUCGAAUCUUUGAACGCACAUUGCGCCCUUUGGUAUUCCAAAGGGCAUGCCUGUUCGAGCGUCAUUUGUACCCUCAAGCUUUGCUUGGUGUUGGGCGUCUUGUCUCUAGCUUUGCUGGAGACUCGCCUUAAAGUAAUUGGCAGCCGGCCUACUGGUUUCGGAGCGCAGCACAAGUCGCACUMUCUAUCAGCAAAGGUCUAGCAUCCAUUAAGCCUUUUUUUCAACUUUUGACCUCGGAUCAGGUAGGGAUACCCGCUGAACUUAAGCAUAUCAAUAAGCGGAGGA
RNAcentral lists this ribosomal RNA (569 nucleotides) under Alternaria sp. E-000535691. RNAcentral's name for it is "eukaryotic LSU rRNA". The stretch from base 195 to 348 matches the Rfam family "5.8S ribosomal RNA". The record is from RNAcentral. Lineage: Eukaryota; Fungi; Ascomycota; Dothideomycetes; Pleosporales; Pleosporaceae.